UAUACAUAUAUAUACAUAUAUAUACAUAAAUAUAUACAUAAAUAUAUAUAUACAUAUCUAUAUAUAUAUUUAUGUAUAUAUAUUUAUACAUAUGCGCACGCACGCAUGUAUGUAUGUAUGUAUAAUAUUAUUGAGUAUUUAUAAUCACAAAAACUUAGAAAAAUCUUUCUAUUAAAAAAAAAAAAGUAAACAAUAUGUUUUGUUGGCAUGGACAUAUAAAUAUGUAUAUGUACCUCCUCAUACUUAUAGAUAAUUAUUUGAUUAAUAGUGAAUAUUUUAUUUUACUGUUUUUAUUUCAAUUAAUGUUCUAUAUUUUUAUAUUUUUUUUUUAUUUUUUUUUUUUUUAUGUUAUAAACUGUAUAUUAGCCUUUAAAUGGGAAAGCGUAGUACAUUUCCUCUUUCUUGUUUUGAGAUUUUUAUUAAUAAUUUGAUGUAUAAAUAAUAACAUUGUAUUUUUAUAAUAAAUAACUCUAAUUAAUCUAACUGUAUUAUACUUAUAAAAUUUUCACUAUAUUAUAUGCAAGCUAACAGAGGAGCUGGCCAACGGAUGAACGGGUCAACGGGUGAACAGAUGAACAGGUGAACAGGUGAAAAAACGAAAAAGCGAAAAAGCGAAAAAGCGAAAAAGCGAAAAAGCGAAAAAACGAAAAAACGAAAAAACGAAAAAUCGAAAAGAACAAAAGCGACUUGCAAAUUAUUUUAAUUUAUACUUUUAACACUUAAUGUAUAUGUAUAUAUAUAUAUUUGUAUGAAGCUUCUAUAUAUAUAUAUCUAUAUCAUCGAAUGUAAUACAUAAAUAUUGACGCCUAUAUCUAACAUAAAAACGAGUAGGCGUACAUACAUGUGUUUACUUGUAUACAAAUAGCAUCAUUUACUUUAUUUUUGUGGAAAGUUGUUUUAUUUAUUCUUUUUUUCUUUUUAGUAACUGCGUGUUUUACAUCCAUAUGUUUAUAUGUUAGUUAUACAAUUAUUUAACUCAAGCUUCAUUUUAAUAUAUAUCAUGUGCAUUGUUUCACUUUAUAUGAUUAUUUAUUUAUUUAUUUAUUUAUUUAUUUACUUUACUUUACUUUACUUUUUUUUUUUUUUGUUUUUUUUUUUUUUUUUUUUUUUUUUUUUUUUNNNNNNNNNNNNNNNNNNNNNNNNNNNNNNNNNNNNNNNNNNNNNNNNNNNNNNNNNNNNNNNNNNNNNNNNNNNNNNNNNNNNNNNNNNNNNNNNNNNNUUUUUUUGUUUCAUCUUUGACUAUAUAGAUGGAUAGUGACAUUUUCUGGAAAUGCAAAAAUGACGCAAAGUCACAGGGUAUUUACAGGUUUAUAAGAAUGAACGAUUUGGAAAGCGUAAUAAAUUAUGAUGGCAUAUUACAAGAAAUAAAAUUAGAAAAUUGUGAAUUAUUAAAUUAUUUGAUUAGAGAACAUAAUUUAAAAGCGAUUUUAACUUAUAUUAUUGAGGAAGCAGUAGGAGAGAACUGCUCAUACGAUCGUACACAUAAAUUACCUUAUAAAUGUCAUCAAAUAAUAAUAAGCGAACAUAAGUUAAUAUCUGAUUCGAUUGUUUAUAAUGAAAAACUUAUGGACUAUUUUUGGAGUUUCUUACUAACAAAAAAACAACUAAAUGAAGUGCUAGCUGGAUAUUUUUGUAGAUGUGCUAUAGCUCUUUAUAACAAAAAUACAAGAGGAGUAGUCGAUUUUUUAAAAAAAAAAAGAGAAUUAUAUUUGAAAUCUUUUUUAUAUCAUUUUUACUCUAGAAAUAUAACUGAGCUAUUUAAAGUUUUAUUAUUCGUUAAAAUUCCAUAUCUAUGUAUAUUUGAUAAUAAAAAUAUUAUAUUUUAUAUUUUAAGUAAUUUAAAUGGUAACUUUUCAAAAAACAAUUAUAUAAUUUCUGACAGAGAGGAUAAUAUUACUUGUUUAAUAAGAGAUAUAUUUGUAAGAAAAGCAGAAAUAUAUUAUUUUAAUUAUUUUUUGAUUGAUUUAUCAUCUCAAAUGACUUUUUCAUAUUUAAUUAAAUGUGUCUUUUCUAGUUGCCCCUACACAAUAUCUGCUGCUAUAACUAUCAUAUCAGAUUUAUUACAUUAUACUGUGUUGUCAAAGACUUGUAACAACAUAGAUUUUUAUGAAUGUUUAGAAAUAUAUAAUAAAGAGGAAGAAUUAAGAGAAAAUGAAAAGAGAGUAGAAUUAAUGAUAUCACAACAAGAAAAAAAAAAUAAUAAAAAGAAAAUGUUGAAAAUGAAUAUGAAAAUUAAAACAAUAGAUGUUGUAAAAAAGAAAAAGAAAAAAAAAAAAAAAAAAAAAAAUAAUCCAAUUAAUGUAGAAGAUAAUAACAAUUUCUCUGUAAAUCAGCACUUAGCCGGGGGUGGGGACAUUAACAGUGAUGUAGACACGAACCAAACAAAUGGAGAUGACAAUAAUCACAUUGUUAACACUAGCGACACCUGUUAUAUAAAUGGCAAUAAUGAUAACAACAUUACAUGUGAUAAAAACAGUAUGAAUAUGCACAAAAAAGAUAAAAGAGAAAUACAAAAAAGUCAAUUAUGUAAAGAAGAGUAUGUAAAUAAAAAAAUAAAAGAAGAAAAAGAUGAUACAACUUCAACUGGAGAAUAUGAAAAUAUGUUAGAUAAACAACAACAAGCGAACACAAAAACGGAAAUAGAUGGUAUUACUAACACAACAUGUGAAAUAAAUAAAACAUCGUUACAUAUGAUCAAUUAUACAGGAGAAGGUUCAAAUAUGCAUGAGAUAAUAAAUAAUGAUAAUGUAGUUAGUAGUAGCUAUUCUGAUGGAGUGGGUAUUACUGAGUUUGCUAAUAAUGAAAAUGAAAAAGGUAGUAUAUUUUCCUCUAAUAGUAACAAUACCAAUAUGUUUAAUGGCACUGUAAAUCAAGAUUCUCAUAAUAUAUUGUUGAGUUCUAAUAGUAAUGAAGAAAAAAAUAACGUUCAUAUAACAUGCGGUAUUAGUAGCAAUGGUAACGCACAAAAAGAUAAUAAAAGUUUGACAAAUACUUUAGCUAGUUAUAAUAACAAUGUAUAUAACACGAAUGGUGAGAAUGUAAAUAACCAAAAAAGUGUACAAAGAGACCAUAUAAAAAUGGAAAACGAAAUUAAUAAUAAAGGUGCAACCAACAAUUCCAAUGUUUCUAGCUGUAAUGGGAAUAAGGUUGAAACCACUUAUAACAUAAAAAAUAAUUUUACUAAUAACAAAGUGGAUCAAAAUGGUGAAUGUAACAGUAGUAACGAUAAUGAUAACGAUAACGGCAACAGGAUAAAACAUUUGGAAGAAAUUAAUUUGGAUCAUGUUUUAAAUAGAAUGAAAAAAAUAGCUAGUAGUAAAAAAGUUUAUAUGAAAAAAGAAGACAUACAAAGUGAUGAUAAUGAGCAUGUGAAGGAUAUGGAGGAAGAAGAUGAUGGGGAGGAGGAAGAGGAGGAGGACGACGACGACGACGACGACGACGACGAUGACGAAGAAGAAAAAGAAGAUGGUGAUGAUGAUGAUGAUGAUGAAGAUGGGAACGAAGAAGAAAACAUUAAUAAGGACUACACUAAUAGCUAUAACAACAUCGAAGACAAUGAAAAGGACGAAAAAAAACGUAAUAAAGACAAAUACAAUGGAAAAGAUAACUACGGUAACAAAUGCAGAGAUUAUCUGUUCGAUCUACAUGCUAAUAACUGCUCAUCAAUUCUGUUAAACGAAAGUUCAGACAACAAAACUUUUAAUUUAUUUUAUAAAGAGGAAGAUAAUACAAACAUCCCUUUAAAUAAAUGGAUUGAAUGCUUAGAAAAUUGUACUUUUGUUGACAUUUGUUUUUUUAAUUAUAUAAAAGAUAUUAUGAAAUUAUACAUUCGUAAUAUUAAUAAAAAUAAAGAAAAAAAUAUAUUAGGAUUUACAACAUUAGAAAUUAUACAAUUAAUUAAAACUUUAAUUAAAACAAAAUCUAAAAACAUACUUGCUGAAAUUAUUGAUGAAGGAUUUUUUGAUAUAUCUAUUGACAUUUUUUUUAAAUAUAAAUGGAACAAUUUAUUACACAUAUCUGUAUGUGAUUUAUUACAAACCAUUAUUUUUAAAGAAAAUGAAUAUUCAUAUUUAUUAUAUUAUAUAUUGGCAUUAACAACAUUCUUACCAAAAUGUUUACGAUAUUUUGACGCUGUAAGACGAUGUAGAAAUAUAAAAAAUAAAAAAAAAAAAAAAAAAUUACAAAGCUUAAUCGACUGUGGUUAUAAAGCACAUCUUUUACAUAUAUGUCAAAUUUUGAGUAAUAAAUCAUUAGAAAUUAAAUGGCUUUCCAAUUUUUUAGUUACAGUUUCAGGAUGGAAUGAUAUAAUUAUUGAUGAGCUUAAUCAUUACUCAUUAUAUUUUAACGAUCAAAAUUAUAUUGAUGAACAAAAAGCGGAAGAAGAAGCAGAGCAUAAUGAGUUUAUAAGAAACGUCAUGUGUGC
RNAcentral lists this long non-coding RNA (4423 nucleotides) under Piliocolobus tephrosceles (Ugandan red Colobus). Its description in RNAcentral is "lncRNA (ENSPTEG00000012850.1)". The record is from RNAcentral. Lineage: Eukaryota; Metazoa; Chordata; Mammalia; Primates; Cercopithecidae.